CUGGCAGGAAUGCUCAUGAUCUUAACAUCCUGAAGUGUUCAGCCCUCUCUCCAAGCUGCAUGCUAUUCAAGGGCUUGUUGGACUAGGGUCCCUGUGGUCUCAGAAAGAAACAACAUAUGACAUGUAGAAUUUGAGGAUAUUAUUGGAUAUAGCAAGCUCUGAAGAAGAAUCAGCUAUUGACAAAGCUCAACACAUUACCGUUAUCACAGAAACCACUGAUUUUCUACUGGAAAGAUGGAAGAAAAAAGCAAAUGGAAGUUCCUUGCUUGCUGAUUGUUUCAGAGAAAGUGCAUAGGAUUUAAGAUCUCCCUGCUCCCUUUCCGUCUGACUCUCGCAUUUCCUGCAUGAGGCAUCUGCCUUUGGCGGGUUUGUCACAGCACGAUUCACUUGUGAGGUGCUGGAUUCAGAAAUGCUGCAGAUACUUGACCCGCUGAAGAAGUCAAGAAUUCCUGUUUGUCAUGUUUAAUUCCUUCCUGAGCCUGGACUUGGGGGGCAUAUAGAAGAUAACUCUCACUUGGAAUGAUUCAGGAUUUUCAACUUGCCAUUACACUGCGACUACAUCAGUGUUUCUGAAAUCUGGGAAGAAAAUCUCAAGUUCACCAAAAUGGUAAAGGGAAAAAAACUGUUUUGUUUCUGUCAGCAGCUUCAUAAAAAUCACUGUUUAGCAUUAGUAAGAAGAAACAGGUCUCCAUGGCAAGUUAGAACAGUGCUGUCUGCAAGAGAGUGGAACAGUCACAGAAUAAGCCCUGGCUUGUCACAAACUUUUGGUGAACCAAUAAAUGGCCAGUCUUAACUCAUCGUAUUGCAGCUGUUAUGCAAAUAUACCAAUAAGCAGACAGCCAGGCUUGUUUGUGUCUUAGUCACCUUGUGCGUCUGUCCAGUAGAUAGGAAAUGGCUUAAUGAAAUUAGCUACAGACAGACUUUGACUCCUUUAUUUUUUCUUCUUAAUAUGACAUUAACUGCUUGUGAUAAUGUCAAGUUCCUUUUGGUUUUUAGAUGGUGUAAAGGACCUUUAAAUGAGUGAUUCUGUAUAGAUGAAGAGAAGACAGCCUGUGCCUCAAGUCCUGAUGAGAUUUUUGGGUCUGGCUGGACCCCGUGAGAAUUCCCUAGACAGAGUGCAAUUGCAUGGUGACAUUUCUGUAUGGGGUGAAUCACGAGAAAAACAUUCAAAUGCCAAAAUGAUUUUUUUUGUUUUUGAUUGAAAGCCCUUUUCUCAGUUUGAUAAUGUUGGGGAUGGAAACUGGUUAUUCUUCUAUGUGCAAACAGCUUUGGCUGUAUAGCGUGAUAUUUGUGUGCCCUCAAUGUCUCACAGGAUUUAGCUGUGUGGUGAAGUUUUCAUUUAUCAUUUGGUAAGGCCUUGUUUUAAAGUGUCCAUCAUCCAAUCAGGGAAGAUGAGCCUAGUGACUGAAGCCACUAAUUACAAAAUCUGUAUACUGAAUACCUAAGGAUACAGCUUGCAACCAGCCAGCUGAGGGGAAAAUACGUGAUACCAGUCACUAAUCAUAGCCUGCUUAAGAAUGACAUUUCCAGGAAUCAGGAUCAAUUAGCCAAUGAUUCACUAGCCCUAGAAAGAGCUAAAUUCAUAGCAUGCAUUAUUUGUAGUGAGUGUUUUGAUCAGUUCAAUAAGUAUGAAGAGCUGCUUCUUAUUGGCUGCAAGAGAAGGAAGAAAUCAAAGUGAUUCAGUUUUUCACAUAACUCCUUUUUCAGUUAAAUACUGACAUCAAAAGUUUGUCAGACUGAGAUGGGGCCUUUCUCCCCCCAGAUUAAAGAGUUCAGCUUAGAUCAUUUCUAGCCAUGUGUGAUGUACAGUGAAAUGCUAGCCCCACUGAAAUUGGUGACAAAAUUCCCAUUCAUUUAACCUCAUGUCAGAGGAUUGAUUUUUAUUGACACGCUGGGGAGCAAUCAAUUAUUUACCCAUCAGCCUGAGAGAGCAUUUCAAAAGGAUUUAUUUAAGGUGCUGUUCUUUAAGAAUCAGUUAUCCUGAGGCAUGUGAUACCUUAUACAGUUCACUGUGCUUAAAUACCUUCUACUCAAUUAGCUCAUGUUUUUAUUCAAGAGAGGAGAUGGAUAAAUCUCUUCAGCUGGCAAUGCUUUCAGAGUGUGUCAAGCCAAAGGGAACCUAAUUAGAGGGAAGAGAGAGAAAUGUGGAAAUUACUGUUUGCAGAGGGCACUGUAGAGAGGAAACUUUGUUGUGAGAAGCUCUCUCACAUUAAACAUGCUGAGGCUGUACUCCUCCAACCAUAGGAUUAAUGAUGCCAAGCAGACAUUAUACCUGUGUCUCAAGGGUCACAAGCAAACUUCUUCCUUUAUCAUCUGUUUCUCGUUUUACCGGCCACUAAGGUAUUUACUUAGGAAUUAGUAUAUAUCUAGGCUUAAGUAGAUUAAACUAAAAGCAUGCCACUGUUUGCUGUAUACAUCUGCUCUUGUUAGUAGAACUUGUUGCUGCUGGCAUGGAGCAGCUUAAUUAAAGUGAUGGCGUAGUUUUUCUGUGGAAUCAGUUCCUGGUCUCAGUGGGACUCCUCAGACAGCUGUGCACAACUGGCCCCCUUCCUGGUGGCUGCAGAAGAGCAGCCAGGACUCACUGGACUCUGUCACCUCGCCAGUCAGGUGGUCUCUUCUGAAAGGUGAAGGAGAGUGCAAUACUUCCACUUAUGUUAGACCUGCCUGGAUUUUUUUGUUGUUUUUUGGGUUUUUUUUUAAGUUUUCUAUUUAGACUAGCACCAUUCAUCACAUUAAUGACUGUUAACACUGUGAAUUCACUAGUGACUUAGGUGUGGGGUACCUUUGUUGGUGAGUAAGCAAAAGCAGGCAGAAGCCCUGGGAUAAUGAUACAGGUACAACUCAGUAAGCAAUGGAGUUGCAUCUAAUAAAUACUGAAGGAAAGUCUGGAGGCAUCAUCUUUCCUGUCGCCUAUGUGGGUGUUACAGAGCAGUGUUCCAGUGCCCCAAAGUCCUGAGAUGGGUUUCAGAAAAUCCUGUGACUGUCUUGGAAGUCAUGAAAAACUAAAUUAAUAGGGUCAUUUGCCACUUCUGUUCCCUGAGUCUUGAGAUGAUCCUUGGCAACUGUAUUCAGGGGUUCUCCUGCAAUCACACAGGUUAAAAAGCUAAUCUGGAUCAGGAAAUCACUUUGGCUUGUGAAAGACAUUGAGGUUUUCAAAAUAUGUGAUCAGUGCAAAUUCAUACUCGAAAAUAAGUCAAAACCUGGUGGCCCAGGCACUAUGGGAUUUUGAGCAGGGAGCAGAAUUUGAGACUUGCCCAUCCUAAGUAUAUUCCUUAGCCAUGGGGCAUGGAGUUAGUCUUUUCCAAGGGCAAUCCAUCCCAACAGCUAAAUAUAGGCACCUGAAUUACAGGUGUAGUUGCCCAGAGCCCCUUGGGAUAGUCAGCAGAGGGAAGAAAGGCUUCUUCAGGGACUGACAGGAAGAGACACCUUGGGAAUCAACCCAACGUCUCCUUUUCUUCAAUUUUACUGAAUAAUAUAAAUAUUCUAUCCUAGAGAGAGAGUGACUCACUUUUUAAUGGCUUGGGAGCCAGUGGGCGAUCUGAGUCUGACUGACAACACAAUUUCUGAACCUUUCUCUCAGCUCCAGCUUGGACCAGUCACUUGAUGAAAUGACACUGUUUCAAAGGGAAAGCGAAGCAGCUGUCAUUUUUUAAGCACUUUUGGUCUCUCUUCCCUGGGAGGAAAACAAAAUCAACCACAUAGCAACUGGAGUAGUGUGGUUAAAGCAUUUAAUAACACAAAGCUUGUGGUGAAAUUUGAGACCCUGGCUUUCCUUUCUUUCUGAGGCAGAAAGCACAAAUAAGUGGCUAUUUUCUGAGGUCCUUCCAGAAAAGUGCCUUCCUGAGAGGGAGCCGCUGGGCUGGGCUGGGUGGACGCCCGGCAUGGACCAUGCCCCAAGUGCACAGAGGCCCAGCGGCAUGUGCUCUGCAAACCUGUGGUGACACAGUUCUUGUCCCAAAGUAUUUACAGCACACAUCUGAGAUGGGGGAACUCUCCCUUUUGUGGUGACUAAACAGUUUUUGAAGCACUUUUGGCUAGUUGUCAUCAAAGUAUAGUACAGGUUGGCCCAGAAGGAGUGGAAAAAGGCACUGGUGACUGUGGGCUACAUGAAACAGAGCAGGGGGCUGUAAGUGCCUCUAAAUGAUCAAGAAAGGGAAAACAGGGGUGUGACAGACUUAAAGGACCCCUGUUUGGAGUCGCAAGGUAGCACGACAGCAGCCUUGGAGGAAAAAACAAUAUCCCUUGACUGCCUGGCUCACGGGUCUAGAAGCCACCAGGCUGAGCUACCUCCCACUACCUUGUUUGAAUGAACUGUAUAUUUUACCUAUUUUUUGUAUCUCAGAAGCUUCCCCACUAUUUCCUCCUUGGCUAGCAAUAUAGAUAAACUGUGAAGUGGAGCUGGAGAGCAGAGUCUGCAAGGAGGAUGUGUUUGUUUGGAUGAAUACACCUUCCGCGUAUAAAUGCAAUAAAGGAUAAAACUCUACAUAAAUUCACUUGCUGACUGUUUUGCUCCGGUGUCACGGGCCAAGAACAAUCACCCAAACUCAUCCGUGUGUGAAAAUUGUAAUACUGGAAAAGGCUCUUGUGUUUGCUAUCCAUGGCAUUUCUUUAAAAUGACUUUCCUCUGUAAGUGGAUACAGAAAUAACUCUUCAGAUUAUGGAUUGGAGCAAGGAGUUGUAUUUGUUUAGUAGUGUAGCUGCAUUGAUUGGCAUCCCCCAGCUCAGGAGAAAUGUUUUUAACCAGCCAGAACAACAAAUACCGUUGCAAAACCUACAUGGGCUACACUGAGAGCAUUCAAAUGUAAAAACAGCUAGGUGUUUCAGGAGCCAAAACGUGAUUAUUUUUAAAUGGCUGUGGUUAGGAAUGGUUGUUAUUAUUUAUUGUUUGAACAUAGCAGCACCUACUGGCUCCAGCCAGAAAUAAGGACUUCACCACAGUAGGUGUAAAAUAGAGUAAAAAGAGGGUUUCUUCUCCCUGAGUGGCCUGAGUCUACAUAGGAGGCAAGAGGCAGGUUCAGAGGAAGGAGGCCGAGGAGAACAUGCACGGCACCGUGGGAGCAAGGGAGCUGCCGGUGCAGAGCACGGUAAUGGGGUGGGCAGAGUCGGCUGGAGAGCAGCCAUUGCAUUUUCUCAUGGAAAUGAACUGGAUUUUUUUUUAAAUUCUGUUUUGUUAGUGGGAAGUGCUUUCCAAAAAACUCACCUUGCAAAAAACAGAAGCUAAGCUGUUUGUCUGGGCAGUUACCUGGCUGGGAAGGUUGUGCCAAUUUUGCUUCCUGCCUGUAGGACGCAGACACCCUGGCCACGAUCUCUCCCACCCAGCCCCGCUGGCAAAAGGCCAGAAGCAAAAGCAGGUACCGGUGUUCCCCCUCUCUUCUGUCUGCCUGGCCACGCUCCCCAAGAGCCAGGACUCUACCUUGCCUUCCCAGAAACCAGGAUUUGCAGAGAAAUUUGGGCAUUGUAGAGGUGAGGAGGCAGGUGCACAGCCUCCCCAUUUUUUUCUGAACUUGGCUGAAAAUACUUUCGUUUUCUGGAAAGCUGUUGGCCAUUCAUCUUCUCCCCCUUAGAAAAUAACAUUGAACUUGCCACAAGAGUUUCACUUUUCUUUUUUUUUUCUCUCUCCAACAGAGAAUGGAAAUUCUCUGCAACACUGAUUCUUUUCCCCAUAUAGUUUGUUUGUUUUUUGCCAAAAGAGCAUUUUUUUUGUUUGGAGAAUCAUUCUGAUGGAAAUCUUUGUGGCCAUAGUGGUAAAAAUGCAAAGUCAAGAAAAUGAUUUUUGCAGCAAUGCCUUAAAUAGAUAAGAGAAGGUCAAGAAGAGCUUUGUCUAGGCCAAGAAUCAGGGAAAACAAGAAAUAGUUAAAAUUUCUAUUCAGUUCCAUUUUAAGAUCUCUCUUUUAGAGCUGUCUCUAUAUAAUGGCUCAGAAAUGUCCAGGGAAGUUCUGUCAUUUCUGGUUUCCAUCUCAGACUGAAACUGAAACAAGCAAACAAUCUUACAAGAAGCCUUGUUCUUUUGAAGAGAUUUCCAAUUUCCUAUGUUUUCAUCCUCGUGAGGUUUAGAUAAAAUAUCCAGAUUUUUCCUUUUUUAAACUGAAGCCAGACUCAAAACCUGCUGAGGCCUUCCCAUCACUAAUUAGAGCAUGUAGGCAAAAUUAUUUGCUAUGAAGGUGAAGUGUAGUGUUAAAUUAAAAUCAGAUGCAUCACGAACAACUCUCUUUUUAGCCCAUUGCUGGCAGGAUGCAAGCUGUGUGGUGUGGGGCUUGCCUGCCAUCCAGGGAGUGAUGGCUGUGUGUGCUGUGCUCCUUCCCUACUACUCUGGCCCUUUUCAGGCAGCAGUCAAGGUUUCUUGGCUGUAGCUGGAGCCACAAUACUUUGCCUAGUUGGACUUCCACUUCUUCCAUUAAUCAAAUGUAUUUUCCUCACAGUAGCUGUAAGCAAAGCCCAGUGUCAGAGAGAGCUGGUACAGAUGCUCCAGAGAUGAAACACCAGGGACCUCGCUUGGCAGCCAGCCCAGUAUUUUAUUAAACACCACAUUAGAGCGUUCAUUGACUGCAUGUAUGGUUCACUUGAGGGAAAGCCAAGCACCACUCUUGUAUCUCCACCCUGAAGCCAGCCACUUAUGAAUCAAGGUGGGCACCUUGUUGUCUACGACUUGCCUGCAAGCUGUAUGGAGAUAGAACUAGGAAUAUUGUUGAACCCUUUCUAAAACACUGAACAGCAGGUUUCCAUGCCAAGAGCUGGUCUGGUUGGUCCCUGGAUGGUGAGAGCUCUCAGGGUGGGCUGGUGCCCCUCUCCAUUGGGUAGGCCCAUUGUGAAAGCUGGUGGCUUCAGCUCUGGAGGGUCGGUGGGAGGUGAUUUGUCUCUUGAGCUUCCCACUAUAGCUGUUCCCAUUAUGAAGUGUCACAUGUCACACAAAACAAUGUGUUUUGCUUUUGCAUCUGUGCUCUACUCAGAUAGCCAGUGCUUUGGGGGCAGAAGAAGGUAGCAGUCCAGUCUAUUUUUUUCAUCUCAGGAACAUUACAAUAGCUCUUUCGAUUUAAUGAGACAAACUGGGUGCACUGGUUCCCCCUAGUUUGAGAGUUAUACUCUUAUCUGAAAACACAGCAGUCUGAUUUUAAUCUAAUUUCUUUGUCACUAAAUUAAACUUGGUUUGUACCAUUUAA
Molecule: long non-coding RNA, 7157 nt
Organism: Dromaius novaehollandiae (emu)
Lineage: Eukaryota; Metazoa; Chordata; Aves; Casuariiformes; Dromaiidae
Exons: 5
Source: RefSeq, a predicted model, not a curated record